RNAcentral lists this ribosomal RNA (299 nucleotides) under uncultured Sulfurovum sp. RNAcentral describes it as "partial 16S ribosomal RNA". It matches the Rfam family "Bacterial small subunit ribosomal RNA", at positions 355 to 671 of the family's 1533-position model. Lineage: Bacteria; Pseudomonadati; Campylobacterota; Epsilonproteobacteria; Campylobacterales; Sulfurovaceae. The record is from RNAcentral.
UGGGGAAUAUUGCACAAUGGACGAAAGUCUGAUGCAGCAACGCCGCGUGGAGGAUGACACAUUUCGGUGCGUAAACUCCUUUUAUGUGAGAAGAUAAUGACGGUAUCACAUGAAUAAGCACCGGCUAACUCCGUGCCAGCAGCCGCGGUAAUACGGAGGGUGCAAGCGUUACUCGGAAUCACUGGGCGUAAAGCGCGCGCAGGCGGCUUUGUAAGUUGGAUGUGAAAUCCUAUGGCUCAACCAUAGAACUGCAUCCAAAACUACUUAGCUAGAGUCUGGGAGGGGAAGAUGGAUUGUGG